GUAGCCCUGAAUCAAGGCCCACAGCUUGCUGUAGCUGUUGGUUUCAAACAGCGGCUAAUAUAAAAGUCUUCUUAUGGUAUGUUGACUUUCCCAGAGUUAUCUAAUGGGUAAAGACGAUUCACUUUGAAGGAACAAUU
Carassius auratus (goldfish) is the source of this 137-nucleotide small nucleolar RNA. NCBI's taxonomy places the organism in Eukaryota, Metazoa, Chordata, Actinopteri, Cypriniformes, Cyprinidae. The record is from Ensembl.